This 494-nucleotide ribosomal RNA is filed under the name uncultured Pedobacter sp. RNAcentral's name for it is "partial 16S ribosomal RNA". Lineage: Bacteria; Pseudomonadati; Bacteroidota; Sphingobacteriia; Sphingobacteriales; Sphingobacteriaceae. The record is from RNAcentral.
CACGGAGUUAGCCGAUCCUUAUUCCUUCGGUACAUUCAGCUCAAUACACGUAAUGAGGUUUAUUCCCGAAUAAAAGCAGUUUACGACCCAGAGGGCUGUCUUCCUGCACGCGGCAUGGCUGGUUCAGAGUUGCCUCCAUUGACCAAUAUUCCUUACUGCUGCCUCCCGUAGGAGUCUGGUCCGUGUCUCAGUACCAGUGUGGGGGGUCAUCCUCUCAGAUCCCCUAGACAUCGUGGUCUUGGUGGGCCGUUACCCCGCCAACUAACUAAUGUCACGCAUGCCCAUCUUAAUCCUAUAAAUAUUUGAUCAUUGUACAAUGCUGUACUGUGAUUUUAUGCGGUGUUAAUCCGAAUUUCUUCGGGCUAUCCCCCUGAUUAAGGUAGGUUGCAUACGCGUUACGCACCCGUGCGCCACUUUCGAAGAAUGCAAGCAUUCUUCUAUCGUUCGACUUGCAUGUAUUAGGCCUGCCGCUAGCGUUCAUCCUGAGCCAGGUA